This 394-nucleotide ribosomal RNA is filed under the name uncultured bacterium. RNAcentral describes it as "bacterial SSU rRNA". It matches the Rfam family "Bacterial small subunit ribosomal RNA", at positions 30 to 432 of the family's 1533-position model. The record is from RNAcentral.
AUUGAACGCUGGCGGAAUGCUUUACACAUGCAAGUCGAACGGUAGAGGGGGCAACCCCUUGAGAGUGGCGAACGGGUGAGUAAUAUAUCGGAACGUGCCCAGUCGUGGGGAUAACGUAGCGAAAGUUACGCUAAUACCGCAUACGAUCUAAGGAUGAAAGCGGGGGAUCGCAAGACCUCGCGCGAUUGGAGCGGCCGAUAUCAGAUUAGGUAGUUGGUGAGGUAAAGGCUCACCAAGCCGACGAUCUGUAGCUGGUCUGAGAGGAUGAUCAGCCACACUGGGACUGAGACACGGUCCAGACUCCUACGGGAGGCAGCAGUGGGGAAUAUUGGACAAUGGGCGCAAGCCUGAUCCAGCAAUGCCGCGUGCAGGAUGAAGGCCUCGGUUGUAACUA